RNAcentral lists this small nucleolar RNA (101 nucleotides) under Oryza punctata. RNAcentral describes it as "Small nucleolar RNA SNORD96 family". It matches the Rfam family "Small nucleolar RNA SNORD96 family". From Rfam's summary of the family: snoRNA Z37 is a member of the C/D class of snoRNA which contain the C (UGAUGA) and D (CUGA) box motifs. Z37 acts as a methylation guide for 5.8S ribosomal RNA. Lineage: Eukaryota; Viridiplantae; Streptophyta; Magnoliopsida; Poales; Poaceae. The record is from Rfam by way of RNAcentral.
GGACGGUGAUGAAAAACCGCAACAAAAACAAACCAUCUUCCGGGGCUGAUUGGCGUCGCAGUGCGUGCAGCCAUGAUGCCAACUCUGCAAUUCUGAUGUCC